RNAcentral lists this long non-coding RNA (983 nucleotides) under Homo sapiens (human). Its description in RNAcentral is "long intergenic non-protein coding RNA 2207". The record is from RNAcentral. Lineage: Eukaryota; Metazoa; Chordata; Mammalia; Primates; Hominidae.
ACCAUCAUGCUUUUUAGAGGCCUCUGCUCUGCCAGCCUGGGAGUCAUCUUCACCCUCAGGCUGGUAGACUCCAGUCUCUUAGGUCAGAAUGGGAUUAGAGACCCGUUCCUGAACCAGUCACACACAGCGGGUGAAACUGCUAUGAUUGGUUUAGACUUAGAGACUGGAAUGGAUGCUGUCCCCAGAUAGCAGAUGACUGGUAGGAAGAUGAGGCAAGUUUGCGGUCCAUUGUCAUGGAUAGUGGAGACAACACUGGGCCAGAAGUGGUAAGACCUGAAUCCAAGACUCAGCUCUGCCACUUGCUAAAUGGGACUUUGAAUAAACCAUUUCUCUGCACUUAAGUUCCUUACCAACAAAACGAGGGAAGUGGCCUACAUGCCUAGAUAUCAACAUUUCAUGUCACGUAGAGAUCUAGCAUCACAAGAAUCCAAGUCAUCCUCUGUUGCCUUUAAGAAAUUAGAAUUAAAGGAAUCAGAAUUGAAGUGAAUCUGACUACACUAAGCCUAUCACUUGUGACAGCCAUGGGAAGAUAUCAUUGGUUGCUGAGGAGCAGAAAUAAGCAGAGACCUAUUGUGUUAGGUUAUCAUUCAUUUCAGUAACAGAAAUAAUCUAUUCAGAGUCAUGGAAAAAACAGAGUGGGCUGUUGGAAUUGGAAAGAAACAAACAAAAAGCAGAUCAGCAAGUUUUCAUAUUGCACUAUUUUCAAUGGCUGGAGCAUCAACAUUUUACAACAAGAAAAAAAUUAAAAUUCUUCAACAUUUGGAAAAGAAGUGUUUGUAAAACUUUUCACAUCCAUUCACCAUCCGGAAAAGCAAGGUUUUACAGUGAGGCCUGAUGAUGUCUAGAGUCACCAUGCAUCUUGGAAAAUGACCUCCUAUUUAUUUCUUCUACAGGACACCAUGGUGUUCACCUUUCUACAACUUUACACUUGCUGAGGACAUAUUGUGGAAAAUUAAGAGAAAUAUAUAUGGAUGGCCAAGGCU